GGUGGCUCAGUGGUAGAGUGCUUGCCUUGCAUGCAAGAGGCCCUGGGUUCCAUUCCUCACC
This 61-nucleotide transfer RNA is filed under the name Dipodomys ordii (Ord's kangaroo rat). It matches the Rfam family "tRNA", at positions 6 to 65 of the family's 71-position model. Rfam says of the family: Transfer RNA (tRNA) molecules are approximately 80 nucleotides in length. Their secondary structure includes four short double-helical elements and three loops (D, anti-codon, and T loops). Further hydrogen bonds mediate the characteristic L-shaped molecular structure. tRNAs have two regions of fundamental functional importance: the anti-codon, which is responsible for specific mRNA codon recognition, and the 3' end, to which the tRNAs corresponding amino acid is attached (by aminoacyl-tRNA synthetases). tRNAs cope with the degeneracy of the genetic code in two manners: having more than one tRNA (with a specific anti-codon) for a particular amino acid; and 'wobble' base-pairing, i.e. permitting non-standard base-pairing at the 3rd anti-codon position. The record is from Rfam by way of RNAcentral. Lineage: Eukaryota; Metazoa; Chordata; Mammalia; Rodentia; Heteromyidae.